Molecule: non-coding RNA, 103 nt
Organism: Takifugu rubripes (torafugu)
Lineage: Eukaryota; Metazoa; Chordata; Actinopteri; Tetraodontiformes; Tetraodontidae
Source: Rfam
GAAAGCGGGGCUUAGAUCUCGGAAGCUAAGCUAAGCUAAGCAGGGUCGGGCCUGGUUAGUACUUGGAUGGGAGACCGCCUGGGAAUACCUGGUGCUGUAAGCU